This 102-nucleotide ribosomal RNA is filed under the name Microcebus murinus (gray mouse lemur). The record is from RNAcentral. Lineage: Eukaryota; Metazoa; Chordata; Mammalia; Primates; Cheirogaleidae.
GCCAUACCACCCUGAACGCGCCGGAUCUGGUCUGAUCUCCGAAGCUAAGCAGGGUCGGGCCUGGUUAGUACUUGGAUAGGAGAUAAGGGAACAUCAGAGAAC